This is a long non-coding RNA of Calypte anna (Anna's hummingbird), 348 nucleotides long. RefSeq lists it as uncharacterized. The record is from RefSeq and is a predicted model, not a curated record. The transcript is spliced from 4 exons. NCBI's taxonomy places the organism in Eukaryota, Metazoa, Chordata, Aves, Apodiformes, Trochilidae.
GUAGUGGAUGGCUGCAUACACAGAGCUGCUGGGCCCUGCUUAGUUGCUGAAUGUCGCAACCUGAGUGGCUGUGAGACUGGACAAGCAAAAAUCACGUGUGGAUAUGAACUACCUGCAAAAUAUGUGAUCAUUACUGUUGGCCAAUUGCAAGAGGCCAUCUCACUGAUGAUCAUAAAGAGAACUUGGCAAGUUGCUAUAAAUCCUCUCUGAAACUGGCCAAAGAAAACAACAUUAGAUCAAUUGCAUUUCCUUGUAUUUCAACAGGAAUUUAUGGUUUUCCAAAUGAGCCUGCUGCUGUCAUUGCCCUUAACACUACUAAGGAAUGGUUAAGGAAGAAUCACGAUGAGG